RNAcentral lists this ribosomal RNA (496 nucleotides) under uncultured bacterium. Its description in RNAcentral is "partial 16S ribosomal RNA". It matches the Rfam family "Bacterial small subunit ribosomal RNA", at positions 28 to 506 of the family's 1533-position model. The record is from RNAcentral.
GAUGAACGCUGGCGGCGUGCCUAAUACAUGCAAGUCGAGCGAACAGAUGAGGAGCUUGCUCCUCUGACGUUAGCGGCGGACGGGUGAGUAACACGUGGAUAACCUACCUAUAAGACUGGGAUAACUUCGGGAAACCGGAGCUAAUACCGGAUAAUAUAUUGAACCGCAUGGUUCAAUAGUGAAAGACGGUUUUGCUGUCACUUAUAGAUGGAUCCGCGCCGCAUUAGCUAGUUGGUAAGGUAACGGCUUACCAAGGCAACGGUGCGUAGCCGACCUGAGAGCGGGUAGGGCGCCUGAGGAGCUGACACGCGGUCCUGGCACUGACGGGAGGCAGAGGGAGGUAAUGUUGCGAAAAGGGCGAAAGCCUGACGGAGGAACGCCGGGUGGGUGAUGAAGCGCCUCGGAUCGUAAAACGCUGUUAUUAGGGAAGAACAAAUGUGUAAGUAACUAUGCGCGUCUUGACGUUACCGAAUCAGAAAGCCACGGCUAAUUACGG